AGGGGAGUGGCUCAACGGUAGAGUAGUGGUCUCCAAAACCAUUGGUUGCGUGUUCGAAUCGCGUCUCCCCUG
Molecule: transfer RNA, 72 nt
Filed under: Clostridia bacterium
Lineage: Bacteria; Bacillati; Bacillota; Clostridia
Description: tRNA-Trp
Rfam family: tRNA
About the family: Transfer RNA (tRNA) molecules are approximately 80 nucleotides in length. Their secondary structure includes four short double-helical elements and three loops (D, anti-codon, and T loops). Further hydrogen bonds mediate the characteristic L-shaped molecular structure. tRNAs have two regions of fundamental functional importance: the anti-codon, which is responsible for specific mRNA codon recognition, and the 3' end, to which the tRNAs corresponding amino acid is attached (by aminoacyl-tRNA synthetases). tRNAs cope with the degeneracy of the genetic code in two manners: having more than one tRNA (with a specific anti-codon) for a particular amino acid; and 'wobble' base-pairing, i.e. permitting non-standard base-pairing at the 3rd anti-codon position.
Source: RNAcentral